CGUAUGUAACCUUAACCCUUUAUCUGGGGGAUAGCCUCUCGAAAGAGAGAUUAGCACCGCAUAAAAUCACAGCACGGCAUUGUGCAAUGAUCAAAUAUUUAUAGGAUAAAGAUGGGCAUGCGGAACAUUAGCUAGUUGGCGGGGUAACGGCCCACCAAGGCUACGAUGUUUAGGGGAUCUGAGAGGAUGGCCCCCCACACUGGUACUGAGACACGGACCAG
This 221-nucleotide ribosomal RNA is filed under the name uncultured bacterium. RNAcentral describes it as "partial 16S ribosomal RNA". It matches the Rfam family "Bacterial small subunit ribosomal RNA", at positions 116 to 334 of the family's 1533-position model. The record is from RNAcentral.